GGGGGCAUAGCUCAGCUGGUUAGAGCGCUUGCUUCACACGCAAGAGGUCACAGGUUCGAGUCCUGUUGUCCCCACCA
This 77-nucleotide transfer RNA is filed under the name Clostridium sp. CAG:1013. RNAcentral describes it as "transfer RNA-Val(CAC)". It matches the Rfam family "tRNA". Rfam says of the family: Transfer RNA (tRNA) molecules are approximately 80 nucleotides in length. Their secondary structure includes four short double-helical elements and three loops (D, anti-codon, and T loops). Lineage: Bacteria; Bacillati; Bacillota; Clostridia; Eubacteriales; Clostridiaceae. The record is from RNAcentral.